GACGAACGCUGGCGGCGUGCUUAACACAUGCAAGUCGAACGGGAUUUAGUAGACAGAAGCUUCGGUGGAAGAUUACUAAUGAGAGUGGCGAACGGGUGAGUAACGCGUGAGCAACCUGCCUAUGACAGUGGGAUAGCCUCGGGAAACCGGGAUUAAUACCGCAUAAAAUCGUAGAAACACAUGUUUCAACGGUCAAAGAUUUAUCGGUCAUAGAUGGGCUCGCGUCUGAUUAGCUAGUUGGUGAGAUAACAGCCCACCAAGGCGACGAUCAGUAGCCGGUCUGAGAGGAUGAACGGCCACAUUGGAACUGAGACACGGUCCAAACUCCUACGGGAGGCAGCAGUGGGGAAUAUUGCACAAUGGGGGAAACCCUGAUGCAGCGACGCCGCGUGAACGAAGAAGGUAUUCGUAUCGUAAAGUUCUGUCCUAUGGGAAGAUAAUGACAGUACCAUAGAAGAAAGCUCCGGCUAAAUACGUGCCAGCCGCCGCGGUAA
Molecule: ribosomal RNA, 494 nt
Filed under: uncultured Eubacteriales bacterium
Lineage: Bacteria; Bacillati; Bacillota; Clostridia; Eubacteriales
Description: bacterial SSU rRNA
Rfam family: Bacterial small subunit ribosomal RNA
Source: RNAcentral